This is a long non-coding RNA of Aricia agestis (brown argus), 94 nucleotides long. RefSeq lists it as uncharacterized. The record is from RefSeq and is a predicted model, not a curated record. The transcript has 3 exons. Lineage: Eukaryota; Metazoa; Arthropoda; Insecta; Lepidoptera; Lycaenidae.
GGCGAUGACACGAUCACCAAGAACGUGACGCAUACCAGAAGAAAAGCAGAGUAACUGGACUUCACCAUUUUUUGAGAAAGUUUAGUCACUUCAA